RNAcentral lists this ribosomal RNA (643 nucleotides) under Sphingomonas sp. DCo04-35. RNAcentral's name for it is "bacterial SSU rRNA". It matches the Rfam family "Bacterial small subunit ribosomal RNA", at positions 69 to 758 of the family's 1533-position model. Lineage: Bacteria; Pseudomonadati; Pseudomonadota; Alphaproteobacteria; Sphingomonadales; Sphingomonadaceae. The record is from RNAcentral.
AACCCUUCGGGGUUAGUGGCGCACGGGUGCGUAACGCGUGGGAAUCUGCCCUUUGGUUCGGAAUAACAGUUAGAAAUGACUGCUAAUACCGGAUGAUGACUUCGGUCCAAAGAUUUAUCGCCAGAGGAUGAGCCCGCGUAGGAUUAGGUAGUUGGUGGGGUAAAGGCCUACCAAGCCGACGAUCCUUAGCUGGUCUGAGAGGAUGAUCAGCCACACUGGGACUGAGACACGGCCCAGACUCCUACGGGAGGCAGCAGUGGGGAAUAUUGGACAAUGGGCGCAAGCCUGAUCCAGCAAUGCCGCGUGAGUGAUGAAGGCCUUCGGGUCGUAAAGCUCUUUUACCCGGGAUGAUAAUGACAGUACCGGGAGAAUAAGCUCCGGCUAACUCCGUGCCAGCAGCCGCGGUAAUACGGAGGGAGCUAGCGUUGUUCGGAAUUACUGGGCGUAAAGCGCACGUAGGCGGCUAUUCAAGUCAGAGGUGAAAGCCCGGGGCUCAACCCCGGAACUGCCUUUGAAACUAGAUGGCUAGAAUCUUGGAGAGGUCAGUGGAAUUCCGAGUGUAGAGGUGAAAUUCGUAGAUAUUCGGAAGAACACCAGUGGCGAAGGCGACUGACUGGACAAGUAUUGACGCUGAGGUGCGAAA